This 497-nucleotide ribosomal RNA is filed under the name uncultured bacterium. Its description in RNAcentral is "partial 16S ribosomal RNA". It matches the Rfam family "Bacterial small subunit ribosomal RNA", at positions 28 to 507 of the family's 1533-position model. The record is from RNAcentral.
GAUGAACGCUGGCGGCGUGCCUAAUACAUGCAAGUCGAGCGAACAGACGAGGAGCUUGCUCCUCUGACGUUAGCGGCGGACGGGUGAGUAACACGUGGAUAACCUACCUAUAAGACUGGGAUAACUUCGGGAAACCGGAGCUAAUACCGGAUAAUAUAUUGAACCGCAUGGUUCAAUAGUGAAAGACGGUUUUGCUGUCACUUAUAGAUGGAUCCGCGCCGCAUUAGCUAGUUGGUAAGGUAACGGCUUACCAAGGCAACGAUGCGUAGCCGACCUGAGAGGGUGAUCAGCCACACUGGAACUGAGACACGGUCCAGACUCCUACGGGAGGCAGCAGUAGGGAAUCUUCCGCAAUGGGCGAAAGCCUGACGGAGCAACGCCGCGUGAGUGAUGAAGGUCUUCGGAUCGUAAAACUCUGUUAUUAGGGAAGAACAAAUGUGUAAGUAACUAUGCCCGUCUUGACGGUACCUAAUCAGAAAGCCACGGCUAACUACGUG